RNAcentral lists this ribosomal RNA (714 nucleotides) under uncultured prokaryote. RNAcentral's name for it is "bacterial SSU rRNA". It matches the Rfam family "Bacterial small subunit ribosomal RNA", at positions 28 to 760 of the family's 1533-position model. The record is from RNAcentral.
GAUGAACGCUGACAGAAUGCUUAACACAUGCAAGUCGAUUCAAGUUACCUUCGGGUAAUGAGGAUGGCGGACGGGUGAGUAACGCGUAAGGAACUUGCCUCUUGGUCUGGGACAACUGUUGGAAACGACAGCUAAUACCGGAUAUUAUGAGAUUCUCGCAUGGGAAACUUAUGAAAGCUAUAUGCGCCAAGAGAGAGCCUUGCGUUCCAUUAGCUAGUUGGUGGGGUAACGGCCCACCAAGGCGACGAUGGAUAGCCGGCCUGAGAGGGUGAACGGCCACAAGGGGACUGAGACACGGCCCUUACUCCUACGGGAGGCAGCAGUGGGGAAUAUUGGACAAUGGACCAAAAGUCUGAUCCAGCAAUUCUGUGUGCACGAUGAAGGUCUUCGGAUUGUAAAGUGCUUUCAGUUGGGAAGAAGCAAGUGACGGUACCAACAGAAGAAGCGACGGCUAAAUACGUGCCAGCAGCCGCGGUAAUACGUAUGUCGCAAGCGUUAUCCGGAUUUAUUGGGCGUAAAGCGCGUCUAGGCGGAAAAAUAAGUCUGAUGUUAAAAUGCGGGGCUCAACUCCGUAUUGCGUUGGAAACUGUUUUUCUAGAGUACUGGAGAGGUGGGCGGAACUACAAGUGUAGAGGUGAAAUUCGUAGAUAUUUGUAGNNNUGCCGAUGGAGAAGUCAGCUCACUGGACAGAUACUGACGCUGAAGCGCGAAAGC